AUUUUUAUUUUACCAUUUUAUAAUUUUAAAAAAUAUAUAUAUUUAAUUAUUUUAUGGUUUAAUAUAUUUAUAGCUGACCGUUCCUAACGCAAAUGGCAAAAAUUUUUUUUUUCUGAGAGAUAGAUAACACGCUACCCGCUUCGUUUAUUUCACUUAGAAAUAAACUUAGCUGUAAAUAUGAAUCAACUAGAAUUCGAACUUGGAUCUCGGGUACCAAUCACCAAGCCCUUUGCCACUUGUUUUAGGGACGGUCGGUAAGUGGCAGAAAAUUUGAUGAUUGGUAUAAAAGGAUCCAGAUUCGAAUUUUAGUUGAUUCACAUUUUCAACUAAGUUUAUUUCUAAAAAAAAUAAACGAAACAAGAAGCAUGCUACUUCUCUCUUAAGAAAAAAAAAAAAAAAAUUUACU
RNAcentral lists this long non-coding RNA (406 nucleotides) under Ananas comosus (pineapple). Its description in RNAcentral is "long non-coding RNA (ACOM_LNC004112)". The record is from RNAcentral. Lineage: Eukaryota; Viridiplantae; Streptophyta; Magnoliopsida; Poales; Bromeliaceae.